This is a long non-coding RNA of Homalodisca vitripennis (glassy-winged sharpshooter), 431 nucleotides long. RefSeq lists it as uncharacterized. Lineage: Eukaryota; Metazoa; Arthropoda; Insecta; Hemiptera; Cicadellidae. The transcript has 2 exons. The record is from RefSeq and is a predicted model, not a curated record.
CAAUUAUACAAUGAUAGUGAAUACCUGGUGAAAAGUGUAGUAUUGUCUCGACAUAGGGCAAUAAAUGGAUCCCAUGUUGAUGUUUGCCAUGUUUUAAACAACUUGGAAGAAGUAGACGUAAACAGAUGCUAAUUUUUUCAGGUCAUCAUGGGCCACCUGGAUGGGGUGAUCAUACACCGCAGCCCUUGAGGAGCUCGUCUGUCAUGAGUUCGCCAUCAAGUUAACGGUCGUUCUAGUUCUGUCCUUGUCCGCCAGGUAGCAGCCGACAAUGUUAGUUUAUGCGUACUUUGUGUGCCGCUGUUUGGUCUUCUGAUGUAAAUGAAUAAUUAUAAUUUAAAAUACAACAUGUCUACCUUAAUUCGUCAUUUAAAAUGUACAUGCGUCUGUGACAUUGUAAUUGGAAGACCAUGACUAUAUAAUACUAUAAAAUU